GUCCGGGUGGCGGAAUAGGUAGACGCGCUAGCUUGAGGUGCUAGUGCCCGCAUAGGGCAUGGAGGUUCAAGUCCUCUCUCGGACACCA
This 88-nucleotide transfer RNA is filed under the name Tessaracoccus flavescens. Its description in RNAcentral is "tRNA-Leu". It matches the Rfam family "tRNA". From Rfam's summary of the family: Transfer RNA (tRNA) molecules are approximately 80 nucleotides in length. Their secondary structure includes four short double-helical elements and three loops (D, anti-codon, and T loops). Lineage: Bacteria; Bacillati; Actinomycetota; Actinomycetes; Propionibacteriales; Propionibacteriaceae. The record is from RNAcentral.